Non-coding RNA from Etheostoma spectabile (orangethroat darter), 850 nucleotides. The record is from the annotation of a RefSeq genome assembly. Lineage: Eukaryota; Metazoa; Chordata; Actinopteri; Perciformes; Percidae.
AAGACUUGGAGAAAUGACAGUAAUUCAACAUCUGAGUCUCCUCCUCCUGACUGCAGAGGUGGCUUCAUGACAGACAACUGUUUGAUUCCAGCUGUGAACAUCAGACCAACAACUCACAACACUUAUUCAUCCUGAACCUUCAAAAACAGCAUUUCACCUCUGCAGACAUGGAAAAACUCACUGCAGUUCUGUUCUGCUUCUCUCUCAUAGGUAACACGAUGGAAGAUGAGAUUACUGCCAGCAGUGCUGAAGUGUUUUCAUCAGAGGGCCGUAGUGCUACUCUGUCCUGUACCUAUUCAGUUAAAGCUCAAAAUCUCCAGUGGUAUCGACAGGAUCCUGGAUCAGCUCCUCAGUUCCUUCUCCUGAUCACUGAUACAAAACCACCUUCAGUAGUGGAAGCUAAACCUCCUCACCCUCGACUGACUGCUAUACUGAAUGAGGAGAGAAAUCAAGUUGAUCUGAAGAUCUCCUCAGCUAAGCUGUCUGACUCUGCUGUGUACUACUGUGCUCUGAGGCCCACAGUGACAGGAAACACCAAAACUCUGUACAAAAACCUUUGGAGCAAAGACAACACAAUACUCCACAACGUCCACCAGAGGGAGACACACUCUGUUAACCUUCAACAUGAUGUAGUCUAGAAUCACUUUACCUUAGAAGUGUAACUGAGAGAAGAGAAACUACAGAGCUACGAGGAGACGGAGAGACUCAGGGAGGAGCUGAGCUGUUACUGAACUAUAGAAGAGAGAGGAACUUCUAGAUUCAACAGAGAUCAAUACACACACCAGACUACUUUAUCCAGCAUGCAGUCAUUGGAUCAUUUUGUGCUUUUUCUACUUUUCAUUUCAAUUAU